CUUCAGAAAUAUACACAGAGGUAAAAGAACUUGCUCCAUAUUUAAAAAUUUUGGGUAAAAAACCAAUGAUCACUAACCUGUGUGUGAAUGGGUCUGGGAGAGACCUUGGUUGGAGCAUAUCCAGGACGAGCAAUGAGCUUCAUCACCAAAAAAACGAACCUAGAGUCUCCAACUGUGAUCAGCUAUACCCAAGUAAGAGGAUAGCUCUGUAUUCUAAAACCUCAAUCAUAUUCCGGUCAGACUCAAACAAUGCGGAUCUCGAGGGAAACACAGGCGCUGGACUUUACGACAGUGUGAUAAUGGAUGAAGCGGAGGAAGUGGUGGUGGAUUACUCAAGGGAGCCACUAAUAGUGGACAAAGCCUUUCAAAUGCGCCUGUUCUCAACAAUUGCAGAAGCUGGAAAUGUGAUAGAGACGCUCUAUGGUUCUCCUCAAGACAUCGAAGGUGUUGUCAAAGGUGGUCAUUUUUACAUCGUCCAAGCUAGACCCCAAGUUUAAGCUCUCUCUUGCUAUUUCUGCGUCCCAUUCCCUAAGUUUUCAAACUAAUUACACUCCUGAUACAAACAUUGACUCAUAAUAAAUCAAUAUGUUGAAAAUCACGAUUGUGUGGGGUUUUGUAUGUAACGUAAUCUUUAAAACAGCAUCGUAUAAAAGAGUAAUCAAAGAAUU
This is a non-coding RNA of Camelina sativa (false flax), 668 nucleotides long. Lineage: Eukaryota; Viridiplantae; Streptophyta; Magnoliopsida; Brassicales; Brassicaceae. The record is from RefSeq and is a predicted model, not a curated record.